UGCGCAGGCGGUGAUGUAAGACAGAUGUGAAAUCCCCGGGCUCAACCUGGGACCUGCAUUUGUGACUGCAUCGCUGGAGUGCGGCAGAGGGGGAUGGAAUUCCGCGUGUAGCAGUGAAAUGCGUAGAUAUGCGGAGGAACACCGAUGGCGAAGGCAAUCCCCUGGGCCUGCACUGACGCUCAUGCACGAAAGCGUGGGGAGCAAACAGGAUUAGAUACCCUGGUAGUCCACGCCCUAAACGAUGUCAACUGGUUGUUGGGUCUUCACUGACUCAGUAACGAAGCUAACGCGUGAAGUUGACCGCCUGGGGAGUACGGCCGCAAGGUUGAA
RNAcentral lists this ribosomal RNA (330 nucleotides) under uncultured Pseudorhodoferax sp. RNAcentral's name for it is "bacterial SSU rRNA". It matches the Rfam family "Bacterial small subunit ribosomal RNA", at positions 568 to 898 of the family's 1533-position model. The record is from RNAcentral. Lineage: Bacteria; Pseudomonadati; Pseudomonadota; Betaproteobacteria; Burkholderiales; Comamonadaceae.